UGCAAGUGAUGAACUCGUUCACUGGGGCU
RNAcentral lists this non-coding RNA (29 nucleotides) under Rattus norvegicus (Norway rat). Lineage: Eukaryota; Metazoa; Chordata; Mammalia; Rodentia; Muridae. The record is from RNAcentral.